Molecule: ribosomal RNA, 485 nt
Filed under: uncultured bacterium
Lineage: Bacteria
Description: bacterial SSU rRNA
Rfam family: Bacterial small subunit ribosomal RNA
Source: RNAcentral
UGCGGCAGCCUACACAUGCAAGUCGAGGGGUAGAAGGAGCUUGCUCCUUUGAGACCGGCGCACGGGUGCGUAACGCGUAUGCAAUCUACCUUGUACAGGGGAAUAGCCCAGAGAAAUCUGGAUUAAUGCCCCAUAGUAUAUAACCUUCGCAUGUUGGUUACAUUAAAGUUCCAACGGUACAAGAUGAGCAUGCGUCCCAUUAGUUAGUUGGUAAGGUAACGGCUUACCAAGACGAUGAUGGGUAGGGGUCCUGAGAGGGAGAUCCCCCACACUGGUACUGAGACACGGACCAGACUCCUACGGGAGGCAGCAGUGAGGAAUAUUGGUCAAUGGUCGCAAGACUGAACCAGCCAUGCCGCGUGCAGGAAGACGGUCCUAUGGAUUGUAAACUGCUUUUAUACAGGAAGAAACCCUCCCACGUGUGGGAGCUUGACGGUACUGUAGGAAUAAGGAUCGGCUAACUCCGUGCCAGCAGCCGCGGUAAU